This 446-nucleotide ribosomal RNA is filed under the name uncultured bacterium. RNAcentral's name for it is "partial 16S ribosomal RNA". It matches the Rfam family "Bacterial small subunit ribosomal RNA", at positions 338 to 795 of the family's 1533-position model. The record is from RNAcentral.
CCUACGGGUGGCAGCAGUCGAGAAUCAUUCACAAUGGGGGAAACCCUGAUGGUGCGACGCCGCGUGGGGGAAUGAAGGUCUUCGGAUUGUAAACCCCUGUCAUGUGGGAGCAAAUUAACAAGAUAGUACCACAAGAGGAAGAGACGGCUAACUCUGUGCCAGCAGCCGCGGUAAUACAGAGGUCUCAAGCGUUGUUCGGAAUCACUGGGCGUAAAGCGUGCGUAGGCUGUUUCGUAAGUCGUGUGUGAAAGGCGCGGGCUCAACCCGCGGACGGCACAUGAUACUGCGAGACUAGAGUAAGGGAGGGGGAACCGGAAUUCUCGGUGUAGCAGUGAAAUGCGUAGAUAUCGAGAGGAACACUCGUGGCGAAGGCGGGUUCCUGGACAUUAACUGACGCUGAGGCACGAAGGCCAGGGGAGCGAAAGGGAUUAGAUACCCUAGUAGUC